GACGAACGCUGGCGGCGUGCUUAACACAUGCAAGUCGAACGGAAAGGCCCUGCUUUUGUUGGGUGCUCGAGUGGCGAACGGGUGAGUAACACGUGAGUAACCUGCCCUUGACUUUGGGAUAACUUCAGGAAACUGGGGCUAAUACCGGAUAGGAGCUCCUGCUGCAUGGUGUGGGUUGGAAAGUUUCGGCGGUUGGGGAUGGACUCGCGGCUUAUCAGCUUGUUGGUGGGGUAGUGGCUUACCAAGGCUUUGACGGGUAGCCGGCCUGAGAGGGUGACCGGCCACAUUGGGACUGAGAUAGGGCCCAGACUCGUACGGGAGGCAGCAGUGGGGAAUAUUGCACAAUGGGCGGAAGCCUGAUGUAGCAACGCCGCGUGCGGGAUGACGGCCUUCGGGUUGUAAACCGAUUUCGCCUGUGCCGAGGAGUGAGUGACGGUACUGGGUAAAGAAGCCCCGGCUAACUACGUG
This 468-nucleotide ribosomal RNA is filed under the name uncultured bacterium. RNAcentral describes it as "partial 16S ribosomal RNA". It matches the Rfam family "Bacterial small subunit ribosomal RNA", at positions 28 to 507 of the family's 1533-position model. The record is from RNAcentral.